CCUACGGGAGGCAGCAGUGGGGAAUAUUGCACAAUGGGGGGAACUCUGAUGCAGCAACGCCGCGUGGGUGAAGAAGUACUCCGGUAUGUAAAGCCCUGUCAGCAGGGAAGAAAAUGACGGUACCUGACCAAGAAGCCCCGGCUAACUACGUGCCAGCAGCCGCCGUAAUACGGCGGGCGCAAGCGUUAUCCGGAUUUACUGGGGGUAAAGGGGGCGUAGACGGCAAGGCAUGUCAGGAGUGAAAGCCCGUGGCCCAACCACGGGACUGCGUUGGAAACUGGGUUGCUGGAGUGCAGGAGGGGUAAGCGGAAUUCCUGGUGUAGCGGUGAAAUGCGUAGAUAUUAGGAGGAACACCGGUGGCGAAGGCGGCUUACUGGGCUGUAACUGACGUUGAGGCUCGAAGGCGUGGGGAGCAAACAGGAUUAGAUACCCCUGUAGUC
Molecule: ribosomal RNA, 440 nt
Filed under: uncultured bacterium
Lineage: Bacteria
Description: partial 16S ribosomal RNA
Rfam family: Bacterial small subunit ribosomal RNA
Source: RNAcentral